Molecule: ribosomal RNA, 305 nt
Filed under: uncultured bacterium
Lineage: Bacteria
Description: bacterial SSU rRNA
Rfam family: Bacterial small subunit ribosomal RNA
Source: RNAcentral
CUAGCCCUACGGGAGGCAGCAGUCGAGAAUCAUUCACAAUGGGGGAAACCCUGAUGGUGCGACGCCGCGUGGGGGAAUGAAGGUCUUCGGAUUGUAAACCCCUGUCAUGUGGGAGCAAAUUAAAAAGAUAGUACCACAAGAGGAAGAGACGGCUAACUCUGUGCCAGCAGCCGCGGUAAUACAGAGGUCUCAAGCGUUGUUCGGACUCACUGGGCGUAAAGCGUGCGUAGGCUGUUUCGUAAGUCGUGUGUGAAGGGCGCGGGCUCAACCCGCGGACGGCACAUGAUAAUGCGAGACUGGAGUAA